RNAcentral lists this ribosomal RNA (550 nucleotides) under Amnirana galamensis (Galam white-lipped frog). RNAcentral's name for it is "partial 16S ribosomal RNA". It matches the Rfam family "Bacterial large subunit ribosomal RNA", at positions 1829 to 2597 of the family's 2925-position model. The record is from RNAcentral. Lineage: Eukaryota; Metazoa; Chordata; Amphibia; Anura; Ranidae.
CGCCUCUUGACAAAACAUAAGAGGUCCAGCCUGCCCAGUGACAAAGUUUAACGGCCGCGGUAUCCUAACCGUGCGAAGGUAGCAUAAUCACUUGUUCUUUAAAUAAGGACUAGUAUCAACGGCAUCACGAGGGCCAUACUGUCUCCUCUCUUCAAUCAGUGAAACUGAUCUCCCCGUGAAGAAGCGAGGAUACAGUUAUAAGACGAGAAGACCCCAUGGAGCUUUAAGCAACAUUUUCACCUUUUAUCUUUAAAUCAACCUAAUAGAAAGAGUUGAAUCUUAGCUUUAGGUUGGGGGGACCGCGGAGUACAAACUAACCUCCACGACAAACGGGCAACGCCCUUAUCCACGAACUACAACUCUAAGAAUCAGAACACUGAUGUUUAUUGACCCAUCUUAUGAUCAACGAACCAAGUUACCCUGGGGAUAACAGCGCAAUCUACUUCAAGAGCCCCUAUCGACAAGUAGGUUUACGACCUCGAUGUUGGAUCAGGGCAUCCCAGUGGUGCAGCCGCUACUAAAGGUUCGUUUGUUCAACGAUUAAAGCCCU